This 465-nucleotide ribosomal RNA is filed under the name uncultured bacterium. RNAcentral describes it as "partial 16S ribosomal RNA". It matches the Rfam family "Bacterial small subunit ribosomal RNA", at positions 28 to 507 of the family's 1533-position model. The record is from RNAcentral.
GACGAACGCUGGCGGCGUGCUUAACACAUGCCAGUCGAACGGAAAGGCCCCUUCGGGGGUACUCGAGUGGCGAACGGGUGAGUAACACGUGAGUAACCUGCCCUUGACUUCGGGAUAACUUCAGGAAACUGGGGCUAAUACCGGAUAGGAAUCCUUGCUGCAUGGUGGGGGUUGGAAAGCUUCGGCGGUUUUGGAUGGACUCGCGGCUUAUCAGCUUGUUGGUGGGGUAGUGGCUUACCAAGGCUUUGACGGGUAGCCGGCCUGAGAGGGCGACCGGCCACAUUGGGACUGAGAUACGGCCCAGACUCCUACGGGAGGCAGCAGUGGGGAAUAUUGCACAAUGGGCGGAAGCCUGAUGCAGCAACGCCGCGGGCGGGAUGACGGCCUUCGGGUUGGAAACCGCUUUCAGCGGGGGCGAAGCUUGUGGUGACGGUACCUGCAGAAGAAGCACCGGCUAACUACGUG